GGGGUUCAGUAGCGGAGGAAUCUAGCGAGCCCACCUCCCACCCGUGUUUACUGUACCUUAGUUGCUUCGGCGGGCCCGCCAUUCAUGGCCGCCGGGGGCUCUCAGCCCCGGGCCCGCGCCCGCCGGAGACACCACGAACUCUGUCUGAUCUAGUGAAGUCUGAGUUGAUUGUAUCGCAAUCAGUUAAAACUUUCAACAAUGGAUCUCUUGGUUCCGGCAUCGAUGAAGAACGCAGCGAAAUGCGAUAACUAGUGUGAAUUGCAGAAUUCCGUGAAUCAUCGAGUCUUUGAACGCACAUUGCGCCCCCUGGUAUUCCGGGGGGCAUGCCUGUCCGAGCGUCAUUGCUGCCCAUCAAGCACGGCUUGUGUGUUGGGUCGUCGUCCCCUCUCCGGGGGGGACGGGCCCCAAAGGCAGCGGCGGCACCGCGUCCGAUCCUCGAGCGUAUGGGGCUUUGUCACCCGCUCUGUAGGCCCGGCCGGCGCUUGCCGAACGCAAAUCAAUCUUUUUCCAGGUUGACCUCGGAUCAGGUAGGGAUACCCGCUGAACUUAAGCAUAUCAAUAAGCCGGAGGAAUGAAUUUC
Molecule: unclassified non-coding RNA, 580 nt
Filed under: Aspergillus flavus
Lineage: Eukaryota; Fungi; Ascomycota; Eurotiomycetes; Eurotiales; Aspergillaceae
Description: sequence contains ITS1, 5.8S rRNA gene and ITS2
Rfam family: 5.8S ribosomal RNA (bases 188-341)
Source: RNAcentral